This 408-nucleotide ribosomal RNA is filed under the name uncultured microorganism. RNAcentral describes it as "bacterial SSU rRNA". It matches the Rfam family "Bacterial small subunit ribosomal RNA", at positions 509 to 917 of the family's 1533-position model. The record is from RNAcentral.
CAGCCGCCGCGGUAAUACGUAGGGUGCAAGCGUUAAUCGGAAUUACUGGGCGUAAAGCGUGCGCAGGCGGUUCGGAAAGAAAGAUGUGAAAUCCCAGAGCUUAACUUUGGAACUGCAUUUUUAACUACCGGGCUAGAGUGUGUCAGAGGGAGGUGGAAUUCCGCGUGUAGCAGUGAAAUGCGUAGAUAUGCGGAGGAACACCGAUGGCGAAGGCAGCCUCCUGGGAUAACACUGACGCUCAUGCACGAAAGCGUGGGGAGCAAACAGGAUUAGAUACCCUGGUAGUCCAUGCCCUAAACGAUGUCAACUAGCUGUUGGGGCCUUCGGGCCUUGGUAGCGCAGCUAACGCGUGAAGUUGACCGCCUGGGGAGUACGGUCGCAAGAUUAAAACUUAAAGGAAUUGGCGGG